This 252-nucleotide ribosomal RNA is filed under the name uncultured bacterium. Its description in RNAcentral is "partial 16S ribosomal RNA". It matches the Rfam family "Bacterial small subunit ribosomal RNA", at positions 524 to 776 of the family's 1533-position model. The record is from RNAcentral.
UACGUAGGGGGCAAGCGUUGUUCGGAAUUACUGGGCGUAAAGGGCUCGUAGGUGGCCAACUAAGUCAGACGUGAAAUCCCUCGGCUUAACCGGGGAACUGCGUCUGAUACUGGAUGGCUUGAGUUCGGGAGAGGGAUGCGGAAUUCCAGGUGUAGCGGUGAAAUGCGUAGAUAUCUGGAGGAACACCGGUGGCGAAGGCGGCAUCCUGGACCGACACUGACGCUGAGGAGCGAAAGCCAGGGAGCAAACGGG